CUUCCUUUGAGGACUCCAGUGCCGUGAUCACCAAGAGGGACGAGAUGGAGAUCGAAUUCUGGUGCGUCUAUCUCAAGAAGGGCAACGUGAGCCUGGAAUUCCUGGCCCACAAGAUUCCGUACAUUUUCAGAGAGAAGGGCUUCGGGAAGUUCACCUACCAGUUUGAGUUCUACCACAGUAGUAGUUUUAACAGGAUGGUGGAUCCAGCCAGUUACCCAGUGGAGGUGUGUAUGUAGUGUAACUAGUUCACUGAACUAUGCUUGCUUAAUGUGUUACCUAGCCUGACACCUUAAGAUCCAGACUGAUUAGGUUUAUCAUCAGUGGGCUAACUCGAUCUUGAUUCAUGCAGACAGCCCAGUUUCAUAGAACAAGAAAUUGCAUCGUCUUUGCUGCUGUAGGGCGGCAGGCAGCCUAGUGGAUAGGGCUUUUAACCAAAAGGUCACUGGUUCAAAUCCCGAGCCGACUAGGUUAAAAAAAAAAAAAAUCUCUCAAUGUGUCCUUGACCAAGGCACCUUGUCACGGUCUUCCUCCUCUUCAUCUGAAGAUGAGAGGCGAGAAGGAUCAGAGGACCAAUAUGCGGCGUGGUAUGUGUUCAUAGUGAAUUUUAAUAGAGAACACUGAACACUAUACAAAAGAGUAACAAAAAACAAUAAACCAAAUACGACCGUGACGCUGCAAAUGAGACCUGUGCUGACACAAGCCACUAACAUAGACAAUCACCCACAAACAAACAGUGCAACCCAGGCUACCUAAGUAUGAUUCUCAAUCAGAGACAACUAAUGACACCUGCCUCUGAUUGAGAACCAUACUAGGCCGAAACAUAGAAAUCCCAAAUCAUAGAAAAUCAAACAUAGACUGCCCACCCAACUCACGCCCUGACCAUACUAAGUAAAUACAAAACAAAGGAAGUAAAAGGUCAGAACGUGACAGUACCCCCCCCCCCAAAAGGUGCGGACUCCUGCAACAAAACCUUAACCUAUAGGGGAGGGUCUGGGUGGGCGUCCGUCCGCGGUGGCGGCUCUGGCGCGGGACGCGGACCCCACUUCACCAUUGUCUUAGUCCGCCUCAUUGUCCGCCUCCGUGGCUUCCUAACCACGGCAACUCUUCUCAAUGGACAGAGGGGCAGCAGCUCGGGACAGAGGGGCGGCAGCUCGGGACAGAGGGGCGGAAGCUCGGGACAGAGGGGCGGAAGCUCGGGACAGAGGGGCGGAAGCUCGGGACAGAGGGGCGGAAGCUCGGGACAGAGGGGCAGGGGCUCCGGCGCCUCUGGGCUGAGGGGCUCCGGCGCCUCUGGGCUGAGGGGCUCCGGCGCCUCUGGGCUGAGGGGCUCCGGCGCCUCUGGGCUGAGGGGCUCCGGCGCCUCUGGGCUGAGGGGCUCCGGCGCCUCUGGGCUGAGGGGCUCCGGCGCCUCUGGGCUGAGGGGCUCCGGCGCCUCUGGGCUGAGGGGCUCCGGCGCCUCUGGGCUGAGGGGCUCCGGCAGCAGCGCCGGACAGGCGGGAGGCUCCGGCAGCAGCGCCGGACAGGCGGGAGGCUCCGGCAGCAGCGCCGGACAGGCGGGACCACCUGUAGGGAGGAGACAGAGAGACAGCCUGGUGCGUGGGGCUGCCACAGGAACCACCAGGCUGGGGAGACCUUCGGGAGGCUUGGUGUUAGGAGGAUGCACCUGAAAGACCGGGCUGUGGGGGAGCACUGGAGCUCUGGUGCGCAACCUUGGCACCACUUCCCCAGUCUGGACAACUACUCUAGCCCGGAUCCUCCAGAGUGCGGGCACAGGUUGAACCGGGCUGUGGGUAAGCACGGGAGAUCUAGUGCUUACUACGCUUAACCGCAUAACACGGUGCCUGACCAGUAAUGCGCUGCUUAUAAUAAGCACGAGGAGUGAGCUCAGGUCUGCUACCUGGCUUAGUACCACACCUCGUCUGCCCCCCCCAAAAAAAUGUUUCGAGGCUGCCUCUCGUACCUGUCGCACUGCCGUGCUGCCUCCUCAUAUCGCCGCCGCUCAGCUUUCGCUGCCUCCAGCUCUGCUUUGGGGCGGCGAUAUUCCCCAGCCUGUGCCCAGGGUCCCUCUCCGUUCAGUAUCUCCUCCCAUGUCCAGGAGUCCUGUGAUGCUGGCCGCUGUUGUUGCUGCUGCUGCUGCUGUCGUCGCUGUCUUUUACCACGCCGCUUGGUCCUUGGUUGGUGGGUGAUUCUGUCACGGUCUUCCUCCUCUUCAUCUGAAGAGGAGAGGCGAGAAGGAUCAGAGGACCAAUAUGCGGCGUGGUAUGUGUUCAUUGUGAAUUUUAAUAAAGAGAACACUGAACACUAUACAAAAGAGUAACAAAAAACAACCGUGACGCUACAAAUGAGACCUGUGCUGACACAAGCCACUAACAUAGACAAUCACCCACAAACAAACAGUGCAACCCAGGCUACCUAAGUAUGAUUCUCAAUCAGAGACAACUAAUGACACCUGCCUCUGAUUGAGAACCAUACUAGGCCGAAACAUAGAAAUCCCAAAUCAUAGAAAAUCAAACAUAGACUGCCCACCCAACUCACACCCUGACCAUACUAAGUAAAUACAAAACAAAGGAAAUAAAGGUCAGAACGUGACACACCUAACCAUAAUUGCUCCUGUAAGUCACUCUGGAUAAGAACAUCUGUGAAAUGACUCAAAUUUAAAAUGAUGUACUUUCCCAACAUUAUAUAUAGAGCUAUAUUGAGUUAACUAAUGAAUAAUGUCAAUUUAUCCUAAAGAGGAUCUAGCCAAUGUACAGGCUAAUUGGUUAUGUCACAGUUCUA
This is a long non-coding RNA of Oncorhynchus tshawytscha (Chinook salmon), 2778 nucleotides long. The record is from Ensembl. NCBI's taxonomy places the organism in Eukaryota, Metazoa, Chordata, Actinopteri, Salmoniformes, Salmonidae.